GACGAACGCUGGCGGCGUGCCUAAUACAUGCAAGUAGAACGCACAGUUUAUACCGUAGCUUGCUACACCAUAGACUGUGAGUUGCGAACGGGUGAGUAACGCGUAGGUAACCUGCCUGGUAGCGGGGGAUAACUAUUGGAAACGAUAGCUAAUACCGCAUAAUAUUAAUUAUUGCAUGAUAAUUAAUUGAAAGGUGCAAUUGCACCACUACCAGAUGGACCUGCGUUGUAUCAGCUAGUAGGUGAGGUAACGGCUCACCUAGGCGACGAUACAUAGCCGACCUGAGAGGGUGAUCGGCCACACUGGGACUGAGACACGGCCCAGACUCCUACGGGAGGCAGCAGUAGGGAAUCUUCGGCAAUGGACGAAAGUCUGACCGAGCAACGCCGCGGGAGUGAAGAAGGUUUUCGGAUCGUAAAGCUCUGUUGUAAGAGAAGAACGGGUGUGAGAGUGGAAAGUUCACACUGUGACGGUAUCUUACCAGAAAGGGACGGCUAACUACGUG
RNAcentral lists this ribosomal RNA (505 nucleotides) under uncultured bacterium. RNAcentral's name for it is "partial 16S ribosomal RNA". It matches the Rfam family "Bacterial small subunit ribosomal RNA", at positions 28 to 507 of the family's 1533-position model. The record is from RNAcentral.